Molecule: long non-coding RNA, 344 nt
Organism: Argentina anserina (silverweed cinquefoil)
Lineage: Eukaryota; Viridiplantae; Streptophyta; Magnoliopsida; Rosales; Rosaceae
Exons: 2
Source: RefSeq, a predicted model, not a curated record
CUCACUUCUGGAUAUCUGCUAUUUGUAGUUGCUUUCAUCUUUCUUCUCAGCGUCACAGUCUCACCCAACAACAAAAACAAUAGCAGCAAUUCUCUUUUUCAUGAGGAGAACCUUAAUUUUCUAUAAUGAAGAGGAAAGCAACUACAACCCCUAAGACAAAAAACGGGGGAAGCACAAGUGGAAGUGCAAGUAUGGGUGAAUCGGUAGCUUGAGGAUUGAUGAAUGAGGGUUUAUGGGAAUGACUCAUGUUUUAUGAAAAAUUUCAUGUCUAUGUGAACUUAAUUUACUUUAGACUUUGCAUUUGUGUGUUUUAUGAUGUAUGAAACUAUGAAUUGUGUUGUGAU